Molecule: long non-coding RNA, 1393 nt
Organism: Alosa alosa (allis shad)
Lineage: Eukaryota; Metazoa; Chordata; Actinopteri; Clupeiformes; Clupeidae
Exons: 4
Source: RefSeq, a predicted model, not a curated record
UUUCUCAACCCAAACGCUGGGUUGAGGCUGUCAGGGCAUUUUGUGGGGUUGUUUUUACUCAUGUUGGGUUAUUUUCUGUAACCCAGCUUGUUGGGUUGAUUGUUUAGGACAGCGCCCCUCCUCUCUCCCACCUGACGUGGAGGACACUACCCAGCACCUGGGUGACUUUAACACAGCUGCAUAGUUAUUUGAGAGUUUGAAAAAACAUCUUUAUUCUUCCAACCGUCCAGUCCACCAGUUGUCAGCAUGCAAUGGAAAUCAGGCGAUUUCGUAAGGGGUGAUCCCCAAUACGGACGGUGGAAUCUGCCUGCCUUCAUGGAAGUAUCACAAGCUUUUUCUAGCUAUCUGUUCAAAAAAUAAACUGCCAAAUAAAUAAAUGUUGAACUGUUUUAUUUCAUUGCAUGGCUAUUGUUGCCCAUUGGAUGGAUUCUAAAACAUUGUAACAUUUAAUGAUUUGCAAACAUUUAUUUGAAUUAUUAUCAAUUAAUAGUGAUUGGAUUAAGGAGAAAAAUAAGAUACUUAGAAUAACCCAUAAAUUAGGUCAGCAUAACCCAGAAAUGACAGUGAAAAUAAUAUAAAUCCUGGGUUGGAUAAGAGAGCCUACCCAACAAUUAUGUAGGUUUAACCUAACAGUUUUGUUACGAUAACCCAAUGUUUGGGUUAGACUAUCAACCCAACUCAUUGGGUUUACCGAACAACCCAAUUUUCGGGGCUAAUAUAACUCAGUGCUGGGCUCGACCACUAUUUACCCAGUGGAUGGGUUGAAAUUGGGUUGUUUUUAACCCAAUGUUUUUUAGAGUGUGGCUUACAGACCAUAAGACAAACUUGGACCUACCUGCUUGUAACUAAUUGCACGUUUGAAAUCAUCAGUGAUGAAGCAUUAAACUUCACUUUUUAAGUUUUUCCAUGUUUUUGUUCUGUGCAUAGUCUGUUGUACAAUCACACCCAACGGUCAAACAUUUGUUGAUACAAAAAUAUGUACUUUUUGUCUAUUUUCAGUGCCAAUGAUAUGAGUGUGGACAGACUUCGCUGUUUGAAGUCCUGUCACUUCCACGACACUGACUGUGCUAUGGAAACAGUGAAAUUAAUUUCCCACUCUGUCAUUUACUUAACCACAUUUAAAGAACUACGAGAACCAGAGGAAAUUGUCCUUCUCAGAACCACAGUGUUCCUAUUCUCAUCCCCAUACCUGAAGUCACCGCGUGUCAAUUUUCACAUCCUGACAGGCAACAUACAUAACGCUUUUGAUGUUUUGCAGCGCCCUGAGAACCAUAAUGUGUUGGGUGUUGUGCGACUGGUCAAGCCUCUUACAGGGCCAAUGACUGUUAUAAGUAUAUAUACUUUUUUGAUCCCGUGAGGGAAAUUUGGUCUCUGCAUUAAUCCCAAUCCGUGA